AAGACACAAUCGGCAUAAAUGGCAUUUAUACCGGCUCACUGGUAUUGCUCUAAGAAUUAUGGAUUCUGAGAAACACAAGAUGGAGACAUUGGGAAGGAGCUGUUGUGUAGCUAACAUGAGAGCACCAUGGAAAACAGCACCAUGCUUGAGACACAGUGGGCAUUCAACAGAUGCUGUAUCUGAUUGGGAAGCCAGGGAUAUCAGCUCUGAAAUAGAUUCUCCUUCUCGGGCCACAAGCAACACAGCUGACGAUGUAUCAACAGCCUAUUGAUGAGUUAACAGUUACAUCGCCUUCCUUAUAGAAAGAAGCCUGGAUUUUAUUCACAGAGUGUUUGAGCAUUGGACUCCCUGAAGGCCGAAUCUGAGAUAAGACUGGUGUGUGUAUGUUUAUGUGUGAGUCGACCCAGGGAAAGUGAGUCAGAGGAGGAUGGAUUAUCAGGGUGACCACUGUGACCUGGACCCCCUCCCCCUCAUUCCCCCGGACCUUCCAGGAAAUGUGCAGAGGGCCUUGAUGGUUGGGAUGCAGAAGCAUUUUCACACGGCUUUCCAUCCUGCCCAGAGCACAUUUUUCUUUCUGAACCGACCAUGUCCACCCGCUGAGUCAGCACCCACCAGUAUACUUCAGGAAAGUGGGGGAGAGAAAGCAGCUGCUUGAAACAGAAGCAAGAGGUUGGCCAGGACCAGCUAAAAGUUGGCAGUGCAGAGGUGAAUGCAAACUGAAGAGGUGUCCUCUUUGUCUAUAAAUGAUUAAGAAUUUCAAGGUGGCAUCAGCCCUUCUUAAAUGAGUGGUCACAUGCUCCAAGAAGCCAACCCUCACUCCGGCCCUGGUUGAGAUUCAAAGUAAGACCAGCGACCAUAAAUGUCAUACACUGGCGGAGGUGUACCCUGCAUGGAGGUUGAACUGAAAUGGGCCUGAACCUAUCAAUGCGAUCUCAUUCCCUUCCUAUAGUGAUUGGCUGGGAAGCCUACUCAAGGAUGCUCAAGGAUGCUAUGUGCCGAGAGGCAGGCCAUAUAAAGAUUUUUUUUUGCUUCUUUCUCUCUGUGCUGCUAUAAAUGCUGUCCUAUGGUGGGAACUAUGUGUAGCCAUGAGUUGUCACUGAGAACAGAGCUGUGGAAAAGGAUGAGGCUGGGGACAUUGAAGAAUUCUAAGAAGCUCGUCCACCCCAAGAGCAUCUUUUGUAUCAAUGAAGAUUAAUAACUAGUAUAAGGGCAAAGUCACCAGCAACUAGAAGCAUUCCUAACUUUUACGAACCUCCUCUCAUGGGUGCAUCCCCAUGCUCCUGGAGUCAUGUGUCUGUCUGUAGGCUGACUUUGAUUAGGGCAGGGCAGACACAAGUUAAAGAAGCAAAUUGUCAGUGUCAUUGAGCCAAUGAGAGCCACACUAGAGUCACCUUCACUCUCUGUAGAACCUGUGUCCUUCGCCUCUAAACCAUUUCCAGUGUUCUUCAUGGAGAGGAACAGUAGGAGCAGGAAUAACCACUGAUUCCCUCUGCCCCCCAGGAGGUGACUUAAGUUGCAAUUGGAUUUUAUUGUGUAUGGAUUGAAUUAUUGAAGUUCUGUAGGGGAUACUGGUCCAUUUGCCUGCCUCAAAUUCCCUCUGUCUGGCAGAGGACUCUGCCUGACUUUAAGAAAUUGUUUGGCCUCCUGUGUGUAGCCUUGGUGAAACCAAUUCAGAGCCAAAGAACCUGGAUCUCCCUUGGCAAAGGUUUGGGCGCCAAUCCAGAGGCCAAUUGCAUUCUUUCUCUAGGAAGCAUUAAUCCAAACAGCAAAGCUCUGAAUGGACUAUCCACUCGUGUGGAUUCUGCUUUGUCCUGGGUUCCUGAAGGUCAAGAGUCUAGGAUCUAUCUCAGUUCUCAUUACGUGCAGAUACACAGGCACACACAUACAUGCAUAGCACACUCACACACAGACACAUGCUCACACAAAUACAAGCAUGUACACAUGCACACACUCAGUCAGAUACACAUGCAUGCAAACUAUGGACUCACACAUACAGGCGCGUGUACACACAUACACACACACACAUACACACAGAGUUUCUCUCUCUUUUUCUCAUACCUGUGCCACCAAAGAAUCAAAAAACAAACUUCAAAUCUGAAAUUUAAAGGAAGCAGAAAAGGUUGAUUUAUAAACCAACCCUUUUCAUUUUUUGGGUACCCUCAUGUUAGUGGAAGGCAUGGCAGGACACUGAUUGCGAAACUGGCCCCAGUUGCCCUGACUUCCCUUUGCAAUGUGACUUUUAGUCCCUAGCCAUAUAAAAAUGGAGUCUAUUGUCUA
Long non-coding RNA from Arvicola amphibius (Eurasian water vole), 2277 nucleotides. RefSeq lists it as uncharacterized. The transcript has 2 exons. The record is from RefSeq and is a predicted model, not a curated record. NCBI's taxonomy places the organism in Eukaryota, Metazoa, Chordata, Mammalia, Rodentia, Cricetidae.